This 497-nucleotide ribosomal RNA is filed under the name uncultured bacterium. RNAcentral's name for it is "partial 16S ribosomal RNA". It matches the Rfam family "Bacterial small subunit ribosomal RNA", at positions 28 to 507 of the family's 1533-position model. The record is from RNAcentral.
GAUAAACGCUGGCGGCGUGCCUAAUACAUGCAAGUCUAGCGAACGGACGAGAAGCUUGCUUCUCUGAUGUUAGCGGCGGACGGGUGAGUAACACGUGGAUAACCUACCUAUAAGACUGGGAUAACUUCGGGAAACCGGAGCUAAUACCGGAUGAUAUUUUGAACCGCAUGGUUCAAAAGUGAAAGACGGUCUUGCUGUCACUUAUAGAUGGAUCCGCGCUGCAUUAGCUAGUUGGUAAGGUAAUGGCUUACCAAGGCAACGAUGCAUAGCCGACCUGAGAGGGUGAUCGGCCACACUGGAACUGAGACACGGUCCAGACUCCUACGGGAGGCAGCAGUAGGGAAUCUUCCGCAAUGGGCGAAAGCCUGACGGAGCAACGCCGCGUGAGUGAUGAAGGUCUUCGGAUCGUAAAACUCUGUUAUUAGGGAAGAACAUAUGUGUAAGUAACUGUGCACAUCUUGACGGUACCUAAUCAGAAAGCCACGGCUAACUACGUG